This 301-nucleotide ribosomal RNA is filed under the name uncultured bacterium. RNAcentral's name for it is "partial 16S ribosomal RNA". It matches the Rfam family "Bacterial small subunit ribosomal RNA", at positions 509 to 809 of the family's 1533-position model. The record is from RNAcentral.
CAGUCGCCGCGGGAAUACGAAGGGUGCAAGCGUUACUCGGAAUUACUGGGCGUAAAGCGUGCGUAGGUGGUGGUUUAAGUCCGUUGUGAAAGCCCUGGGCUCAACCUGGGAAUUGCAGUGGAUACUGGGUCACUAGAGUGUGGUAGAGGAUAGUGGAAUUUCCGGUGUAGCAGUGAAAUGCGUAGAGAUCGGAAGGAACAUCUGUGGCGAAGGCGACUAUCUGGGCCAACACUGACACUGAGGCACGAAAGCGUGGGGAGCAAACAGGAUUAGAUACCCCCGUAGUCCCUGUCUCUUAUAA